This is a long non-coding RNA of Passer montanus (Eurasian tree sparrow), 1638 nucleotides long. RefSeq lists it as uncharacterized. The transcript has 4 exons. The record is from RefSeq and is a predicted model, not a curated record. Lineage: Eukaryota; Metazoa; Chordata; Aves; Passeriformes; Passeridae.
UGAGCAGCUGGAAAUGGUUGGAGGAGGGAAACCACUCAGGGGGAAGCAGCUGCUGGGGUUUAUAAAAGCAGGAAGAGCAGCAGAGGUUGGGGUUUUCCUUGUCCCAAAGGUGCUUCCUGCUAGGAGUGAGGAAUCCAACUGUUCAUCUUCUCUUCUCCAGCCCCUGCAACUGCUGGAACCAAGGAGAGCAAUUUUCUGUCCACUGUCCAAGAGGUAUUUAAUAAUCUGAACCCAGCCGGUGGGGGAAGAAGCAUUUCAUUGUUUGCUGAGGCUCCUGCUCGGGUUUUGGCCUCCUUCAAUGUGAGGGAAUUUGAAGAAGCUUCCAAGUGUGAGACAAAUCUCGUGGCUGAGAUGGUUCAAAGGAGGCUGAGGAAAAGAAGCACUCAGGGUCCAGGGAAGGUAAAACUAUCAGAAGAAAACCCCUAGAGAUUAAUUUGGAAUUUGUGGGCUGAAGAAUGAGGAUUUGAGUCACAGCUGACCACAUGUCUUCAGAAUCAGAGAAUCAUUAAGGCUGGAAAAGACUUUCAAGAUCAUUAAGCCCAACCUUUGUAUUUGCAGUUAACAAGGUGAAUUCUGACUAAAAUAUCCAAGGUGGUAGAGAUCCAUUAAAAAAAUCCAUUUUUUGCCAUUGUUAGAUGUAAUUGCAUUCCUUCUUUACUGCAUGUAAUUGUCUUUUGGGUACAUAUUUUUAUUAGUGAUCAGGAAAACACCAGUAGCAGCCUAAAAUAUGAAAUAUUUAAUGUAAAAUAUGAAAACCUCAUAGCCUUAGUGGAAAAAACUUAAAUAUAGGUUAAAAUAGCACAGAAGUUUGGGAUUGCAAUGGGAUUGCAAUGAUAAAUAUAAUUUUUUGUUCUAGAACUCUGUGUUUGGCAUAGAAAAUAUAAAAAAGAGGAAAAGUGCCACAAGAGAAAUCUGAGUUUUGCUUAGAGAGGAUAAAAAAAGGUGCCUGUAUGGAGAUUUAGAUUGUACAUGCAAUGCAUUUAAGGAGUUGUUGAAUCCAGAGUUAAAUUGUUAAUUUGUUCUAUGUUAUCUUUUAAAACUCAUGAAUAGCAAAGAUAAUUCUCUCUAGUUUACUACAGAGCAGGUACUUGAGGUCAUGAGUCUCCUCUGCUUUAGUUACAAGGUACAGGAAUUCUUGAUCACAGCCUUCAAAUCUGAUUUUCUUCACUUUCUCCUUCUGUCUUUCCUUUUCUCCCCCCCAACAGAAUUGCAGUUUUCUCAGUAUUCUCUCGUCCUCAAAUGUCACUGUAAAUCAGCCCUCCAGCUGUCUCCAUUCCUCUUUCCUCUGGCUCCUUCCACAGUGCACUUAUUAAAUAUAACAAUAACAAUAAAUUAUCUCCGCUCCUCUGUUUAAAUCACAAACAUUUCUUUUGGUCAGGUUGUGCCAGCAAAUCCUGCAGCCUCUUCUCUCCUGCUCUCCAAAAUUUCAGUGCUGGCUGCUCUCUCCCAUCUCCUUUUCCACCACUCCAUCCCUGCUCCAAUCUCUCCCUACCACUCCUUUUCCUUCUUCACAAUAUUCAUCCCUCAGUAUUUCAGCGUGACUUUUCUACAGGAAAAAUCCUCUUAAAAUUCAGAUAUUCCCGCUUAAGAUGGCUCUGCUCUUGAAAAAUCUUCUGGUGACAUCAAGGCAAAAUAUUU